GUGGGGAAUAUUGGGCAAUGGGCGAAAGCCUGACCCAGCAACGCCGCGUGAAGGAUGACGGUCUUCGGAUUGUAAACUUCUUUAAUUGGGGAAGAACAAAAUGACCUACCCAAAGAAUAAGUCACGGCUAACUACGUGCCAGCAGCCGCGGUAAUACGUAGGUGACAAGCGUUAUCCGGAUUUACUGGGCGUAAAGGGCGUGUAGGCGGUCUUGCAAGUCAGAAGUGAAAUUCCUGAGCUCAACUCGGGCGCUGCUUCUGAAACUGCAGGACUUGAGUGCUGGAGGGGAUAGCGGAAUUCCUAGUGGAGCGGUAAAAUGCGCAGAUAUUAGGAAGAACACCGGUGGCGAAGGCGGCUAUCUGGACAGUAACUGACGCUGAGGCGCGAAAGCGUGGGGAGCAAACAGGAUUAGAAACCCUUGUAGUCC
Molecule: ribosomal RNA, 427 nt
Filed under: uncultured bacterium
Lineage: Bacteria
Description: bacterial SSU rRNA
Rfam family: Bacterial small subunit ribosomal RNA
Source: RNAcentral